CAGCGUGCUCCGGGGUCGGUGAAAAUCCGAACCGGCGGUUACAGUCCGCGACCCGGUCGAAGCCAUCGACCGGUUGACCCGGUGAAAUUCCGGGACCGACGGUUAAAGUCCGGAUGGGAGGAAGCGCGCGA
Molecule: non-coding RNA, 131 nt
Filed under: Streptosporangium roseum
Lineage: Bacteria; Bacillati; Actinomycetota; Actinomycetes; Streptosporangiales; Streptosporangiaceae
Also listed under: 1 other name
Description: FMN sequence
Rfam family: FMN riboswitch aptamer (RFN element)
About the family: The RFN element is a highly conserved domain that is found frequently in the 5'-untranslated regions of prokaryotic mRNAs that encode for flavin mononucleotide (FMN) biosynthesis and transport proteins. This element is a metabolite-dependent riboswitch that directly binds FMN in the absence of proteins.
Source: RNAcentral